AUCUACGGUGCACACAGGUGGCUGGUUUCUUCACCUCAGAGUUGGUCACAAGUUUUAUUCCAAUUUCCUAAAAGUGUGAGUAAAAAAAAAAGUGCAAAAUUCUGUUUGUCAUCGGCAGUUAGGAAUUAGAACGAUACAUAAAUAUUGUGGCAGACGGCAGGGAGGAGUGGUAUGUUUGGAGGAGAGGGGGUAACAAUAAAUUGUAUCAAUAAGAAUAUCGUUAACAUCAGGGAGAGAGAGAGAGAGAGAGAGAGAGAGAGAC
Molecule: long non-coding RNA, 262 nt
Organism: Gadus macrocephalus (Pacific cod)
Lineage: Eukaryota; Metazoa; Chordata; Actinopteri; Gadiformes; Gadidae
Exons: 2
Source: RefSeq, a predicted model, not a curated record